GACGAACGCUGGCGGCGUGCCUAACACAUGCAAGUCGAGCGAAGUGCUUUAAGCGGAAUCUUCGGAGGAAGCUUAAAGUAUCUUAGCGGCGGACGGGUGAGUAAUGCGUGAGGAACCUGCCUUUCACAAGGGGAUAGCCUCGGGAAACUGGGAUUAAUACCCUAUGACACCUAAGUAUCGCAUGAUACUUAGGUUAAAGCGCAAAGCGGUGGAAGAUGGCCUCACGUCCCAUUAGCUAGUUGGUGAGGUAAAGGCUCACCAAGGCAACGAUGGGUAGCCGGCCUGAGAGGGUGACCGGCCACACUGGGACUGAGACACGGCCCAGACUCCUACGGGAGGCAGCAGUAGGGAAUAUUGCGCAAUGGACGGAAGUCUGACGCAGCGACGCCGCGUGAGUGAUGAAGGUCUUCGGAUCGUAAAGCUCUGUCCUUGGGGAAGAAGGCGAAAGCUUGACGGUACCCAAGAAGAAAGCCCCGGCUAACUACGUGCCAGCAGCCGCGGUAA
RNAcentral lists this ribosomal RNA (504 nucleotides) under uncultured bacterium. RNAcentral describes it as "bacterial SSU rRNA". It matches the Rfam family "Bacterial small subunit ribosomal RNA", at positions 28 to 523 of the family's 1533-position model. The record is from RNAcentral.